Molecule: ribosomal RNA, 498 nt
Filed under: uncultured bacterium
Lineage: Bacteria
Description: partial 16S ribosomal RNA
Rfam family: Bacterial small subunit ribosomal RNA
Source: RNAcentral
ACGAACGCUGGCGGCGUGCCUAAUACCUGCAAGUCGAGCGAAGUUUUUCUGGUGCUUGCACUAGAAAAACUUAGCGGCGAACGGGUGAGUAACACGUAAAGAACCUGCCUCAUAGACUGGGACAACUAUUGGAAACGAUAGCUAAUACCGGAUAACAGCAUUAACUGCAUGGUUGAUGUUUAAAAGUUGGUUUUGCUAACACUAUGAGAUGGCUUUGCGGUGCAUUAGCUAGUUGGUGGGGUAAAGGCCUACCAAGGCGACGAUGCAUAGCCGACCUGAGAGGGUGAUCGGCCACACUGGGACUGAGACACGGCCCAGACUCCUACGGGAGGCAGCAGUAGGGAAUCUUCCGCAAUGGGCGAAAGCCUGACGGAGCAACGCCGCGUGAGUGAAGAAGGAUUUCGGUUCGUAAAGCUCUGUUGUUAGGGAAGAAUGAUUGUGUAGUAACUAUACACAGUAGAGACGGUACCUAACCAGAAAGCCACGGCUAACUACGUG